RNAcentral lists this ribosomal RNA (719 nucleotides) under uncultured bacterium. RNAcentral's name for it is "bacterial SSU rRNA". It matches the Rfam family "Bacterial small subunit ribosomal RNA", at positions 104 to 810 of the family's 1533-position model. The record is from RNAcentral.
GGGUGAGUAACACGUGGGUAACCUGCCCAAGAGACUGGGAUAACACCUGGAAACAGAUGCUAAUACCGGAUAACAACACUAGACGCAUGUCUAGAGUUUGAAAGAUGGUUCUGCUAUCACUCUUGGAUGGACCUGCGGUGCAUUAGCUAGUUGGUAAGGUAACGGCUUACCAAGGCAAUGAUGCAUAGCCGAGUUGAGAGACUGAUCGGCCACAUUGGGACUGAGACACGGCCCAAACUCCUACGGGAGGCAGCAGUAGGGAAUCUUCCACAAUGGACGAAAGUCUGAUGGAGCAACGCCGCGUGAGUGAAGAAGGGUCUCGGCUCGUAAAGCUCUGUUGGUAGUGAAGAAAGAUAGAGGUAGUAACUGGCCUUUAUUUGACGGUAAUUACUUAGAAAGUCACGGCUAACUACGUGCCAGCAGCCGCGGUAAUACGUAGGUGGCAAGCGUUGUCCGGAUUUAUUGGGCGUAAAGCGAGUGCAGGCGGUUCAAUAAGUCUGAUGUGAAAGCCUUCGGCUCAACCGGAGAAUUGCAUCAGAAACUGUUGAACUUGAGUGCAGAAGAGGAGAGUGGAACUCCAUGAGUAGCGGUGGAAUGCGUAGAUAUAUGGAAGAACACCAGUGGCGAAGGCGGCUCUCUGGUCUGCAACUGACGCUGAGGCUCGAAAGCAUGGGUAGCGAACAGGAUUAGAUACCCUGGUAGUCCAUGCCGUAAACGAU